GAUUUAUCGAUCGGAAUUCAGAGAACUCUCGCAUGUUAUCAAAACUGGGGAAUUCCCUCCGAUGUGUUUCUAAAUUUAUAAUAAACAGCUGCGCCACGAGCGCAUGAUACGCCCGAUGUCUUGUGUGGAAGUUUUAAGCAAAAAUCAUAAAUAGUUUCUGAGAAAGUUUUAAGCAAUAACCUUAUAUUGUUUUUGAGACACGGCGGGACAUGUGAAACCCCCCACCCUGUGUUUUUUUUUACAAAAACCUAAAUUUCACAAAAAUAAAAUUUUGAAUCAAAA
This 282-nucleotide long non-coding RNA is filed under the name Mytilus galloprovincialis (Mediterranean mussel). Lineage: Eukaryota; Metazoa; Mollusca; Bivalvia; Mytilida; Mytilidae. The record is from RNAcentral.